GGAGGGGUUCAUUUCCUAUUAGCUUGUUGGUGAGGUAACGGCUCACCAAGGCAAAGAUGGGUAGGGGGCCUUAGCGGGUGACCCUCCACACUGGGACUGAGACACUGCCCAGGUUCCUACGGGAGGCUGCAAUCGAGAAUCCUCCGCAAUGGACGAAAGUCUGACGGGGUGACGCCGCGUGAGUGAUGAAGGCCUUUCAGGUUGUAAAACUCUAACAGGGAGUAUGAAAUUCAUCGGGUCCAAUAGGCCCGGUGAUUGACGUCAAUCCCAGAUGAAGUCACGGCUAAAUAUGUGCCAGCAGCCGCGGUAACACAUAUGUGGCAAGCGUUGUUCGGAAUUACUGGGCUUAAAGCGCACGUAGGUGGUGCAGUCAGUCAAUUUGUGAAAUCCCCCGGCUUAACCGGGGAAUCGCGGUUGAUACUGCUGUGCUGGAGUUCGGAAGGGGAGACUGGAACUCUGGGUGUAGCGGUGGAAUGCGAAGAUAUCCAGGGGAAGGCCGGUAGCGAAAGCGAGUCUCUGGUCCGAUACUGACACUGAGGUGCGAAAGCGUAGGUAGCGAACGGGAUUCGAUACCUCGGUAGUCUACGCCGUACACGAUGGGCACUACGUGGUGGGAACGCCGAUAGUUCUCUCCGCCGACGCCACCAGCGUUAAGUGCCCCGCGUGGCGAGUAUGGUCGCCAGAUUCACACUCAAAGGCCUUGCCGGGGGCCCACACAAGCGUUGGAGGAUGCGGGGUGAGUUCGAGGACAGGCGUAGAACCUGACCGAGGCUUGACAUGCAGGGAUUAACCAGGUGAAGACCUGGGGAUUGCCUUACGGUGUAACCUGCACAGGUGCUGCAUGGCUGUCGACAGCUCGUGUCGUGAGAUGUUAGGUUAAGUCCUGUAACGAGCGAAACCCCUGUGCUUAAUGGCCAGCGCGUUAUGGCGGGGACUUUAAGCAGACUGCCCCGGCCAACGGGGAGGAAGGUGGGGAUGACGUCAAGUCAGCAUGGCCCUUAUGCCUCGGGCUGCACGCGUCAUACAAUGGGCAGUACAAUGAGUACCGAUCCCGCAAGGGGGAGGAAAUCUCGAAAGCUGUCCUCAGUUCGGAUUGCAGGCUGAAACUCGCCUGCAUGAAGGUGGAAUCGCUAGUAAUCGCCGGUCAGCUAUACGGCGGUGAAUACGUCCCUGGGCCUUGUACACACCGCCCGUCAAGCCACCCGAGUUGGACGCGCUCGAAGUC
RNAcentral lists this ribosomal RNA (1225 nucleotides) under uncultured organism. RNAcentral's name for it is "bacterial SSU rRNA". It matches the Rfam family "Bacterial small subunit ribosomal RNA", at positions 223 to 1428 of the family's 1533-position model. The record is from RNAcentral.